GUGCCUGUAGCUCAGUCGGAUAGAGCACCCGCCUUCUAAGCGGGUUGUCGCAGGUUCGAUUCCUGCCAGGCACGCAA
This 77-nucleotide transfer RNA is filed under the name Candidatus Planktophila limnetica. Its description in RNAcentral is "tRNA-Arg". It matches the Rfam family "tRNA". Rfam says of the family: Transfer RNA (tRNA) molecules are approximately 80 nucleotides in length. Their secondary structure includes four short double-helical elements and three loops (D, anti-codon, and T loops). The record is from RNAcentral. RNAcentral also lists the same sequence under 1 other name. Lineage: Bacteria; Bacillati; Actinomycetota; Actinomycetes; Candidatus Nanopelagicales; Candidatus Nanopelagicaceae.